Molecule: ribosomal RNA, 1455 nt
Filed under: uncultured Bordetella sp.
Lineage: Bacteria; Pseudomonadati; Pseudomonadota; Betaproteobacteria; Burkholderiales; Alcaligenaceae
Description: partial 16S-23S ribosomal RNA intergenic spacer
Rfam family: Bacterial small subunit ribosomal RNA
Source: RNAcentral
UUCAAGUCUGCGUCAGUUGAACGCUGGCGGGAUGCUUUACUGCAAGUCCGAACGGCAACACGGACUUCGGUCUGGUGGCGAGUGGCGAACGGGUGAGUAAUGUAUCGGAACGUGCCUAGUAGCCCGGGGGGAUAACUACGCGAAAGCGUAGCUAUUACGCCCUUCCCCGGGGGAAAGCGAAGUUAGCUGGGCCUACAUAUUAAAACAACCGAUAUCGGAUUAGCUUCAGUUGGUGGGGUAACGGCUCACCAAGGCGACGAUCCGUAGCUGGUUUGAGGGGACGACCAGCCACACUGGACUGAGACACGGCCCAGACUCCUACGGGAAGCAGCAGUGAGGAAUUUUGGACAAUGGGGAAACCUGAUCCAGCCAUCCGCGUGUGCGAUGAAGGCCUUCGGGUUGUAAAGCACUUUUGGCAGGAAAGAAACAGCUGCAGGAUAAUACCCCGUGCAACUGACGGCUUACCUGCAGAAUAAGCACCGGCUAACUACGUGCCAGCAGCCGCGGUAAUACAUGGGUGCAAGCGUUAAUCGGAAUUACUGGGCGUAAAGCGCGAGCGGUUCGGAAAGAAGAUGUGAAAUCCCAGAGCUUAACUUUGGAACUGCAUUUUUAACUACCGAGCUAGAGUGUGUCAGAGGGAGGUGGAAUUCCGCGUGUAGCAGUGAAAUGCGUAGAUAUACUGGGAGGAGACACCGAUGGCGAAGGCAGCCUCCUGGGAUAACACUGACGCUCAUGCACGAAAGCGUGGGGAGCAAACAGGAUUAGAUACCCUGGUAGUCCACGCCUAAACGAUGUCAACUAGCUGUUGGGGCCUUCGGGCCUUGGUAGCGCAGCUAACGCGUGAAGUUGACCGCCUGGGAUGCAGUCGCAAGAUUAAAACUCAAAGGAAUUGACGGGGACCCGCACAAGCGGUGGAUGAUGUGGAUUAAUUCGAUGCAACGCCAACCUUACCUACCCUUGACAUGUCUGGAAUCCCGAAGAGAUUCGGUGCUCGCAAGAGAACCGGAACUAGGUGCUGCAUGGCUGUCGUCAGCUCGUGUCGUGAGAUGUUGGGUUAAAAUUCUGCUUGAGCGCAACCCUUGUCAUUAGUUGCUACGAAGGGCACUCUAAUGGGGCUACCGGUGACAAACCGGAGGGGGAGGUGGGGAUGACGUCAGGUCUCAUGGCCCUUAUGGGUAGGGCUUCCACGUCACAUACAAUGGUCGGGACAGAGGGUCGCCAACCCGACCAAUCCAGAAACCGAUCGUAGUCCGGAUCGCGAUCUGCAACUCGACUGCGUGAAGUCGGAAUCGCUAGUAAUCGCGGAUCAGCAUGUCGCGGUGAAUACGUUCCCGGGUCUUGUACACAUACGCCCGUCACACCAUGGGAGUGGGUUUUGCAAGUAGUUAGCCUAACCGUAAGGAGGGCGAUUACCGCGGUGAUUCAUGACUGGGGUGAAGUCGCUAACCUGGGUAG